GCCGGGGUGGUGAAAUUGGUAGACGCGUCAGACUCAAAAUCUGAUGGGUGUAAGCCCGUGCCGGUUCGAGUCCGGCCCUCGGCACCA
RNAcentral lists this transfer RNA (87 nucleotides) under Deltaproteobacteria bacterium CG_4_10_14_0_2_um_filter_43_8. RNAcentral describes it as "tRNA-Leu". It matches the Rfam family "tRNA". From Rfam's summary of the family: Transfer RNA (tRNA) molecules are approximately 80 nucleotides in length. Their secondary structure includes four short double-helical elements and three loops (D, anti-codon, and T loops). RNAcentral also lists the same sequence under 2 other names. Lineage: Bacteria; Deltaproteobacteria. The record is from RNAcentral.